UGUUUGUACUGAUAAAGACUGAGUAAGCAGAACUGCUGAGACUCAGGAAGAAACGUAUCUAUGGCAUGGAGUGCAAAGUCCUGUUUGAAUUUUUUUAAUGGAUCUCAGUUAGGCACUGUUAGUUUCCAUGUGGCAAGGUCCCAGGUGUGGUGACGUUAUCCAUGGCUUUCUGUCACACUACCCACUCUAGUCCAAGGUGUAGGAGAGAGAAUUUGUGAGGAGGAAAAGAAUAUGUAACUGCAUACUUCAGUUCUUCUGAAUUUUUUAAGAGAGGAACCAUGGACAAUAUGUGAAAAUGCUGGAAGAGUUAUUUUGGUCCUCUAAAUAAUGAUACACCUAUGGAGUCG
Long non-coding RNA from Parus major (Great Tit), 347 nucleotides. RefSeq lists it as uncharacterized. The record is from RefSeq and is a predicted model, not a curated record. Lineage: Eukaryota; Metazoa; Chordata; Aves; Passeriformes; Paridae. The transcript is spliced from 3 exons.